Molecule: transfer RNA, 75 nt
Filed under: Ammoniphilus oxalaticus
Lineage: Bacteria; Bacillati; Bacillota; Bacilli; Caryophanales; Paenibacillaceae
Description: tRNA-Cys
Rfam family: tRNA
About the family: Transfer RNA (tRNA) molecules are approximately 80 nucleotides in length. Their secondary structure includes four short double-helical elements and three loops (D, anti-codon, and T loops).
Source: RNAcentral
GGGAGCAUAGCCAAGUGGUAAGGCGCGGGUCUGCAAAACCUUCAUUCCCCGGUUCAAGUCCGGGUGCUCCCUCCA